This is a long non-coding RNA of Salmo trutta (river trout), 1785 nucleotides long. NCBI's taxonomy places the organism in Eukaryota, Metazoa, Chordata, Actinopteri, Salmoniformes, Salmonidae. The record is from Ensembl.
GGAUUUAAGAAAAUGUGGAACAACAACCACGCUGCACUUUGGUCUGCCGUGACACAAAUACACAUUCUCACCUUCUAUAUGACACGCGUCCAUUGCUCUGAGGUUGACCCAGAAGCUGUGGGUCAUCAGUCUGGCUGUUAACCCUGUGGGAGCAAUAACAGGGCUAUCAUCAGGAUUAAAACUCUUGAUCCAGCACAAACAACACUGUCCUCCAUAGAGGCAGAGACUAACAUGGUCCAUGGGAUCAAUUUUGAAGAGAGAAAUGAGAAUUCAUUCAACAGAUAAUGAAGAUUUACCAAAGGAGUCCUCAUGUGGAGAAUUUACCUGACAACCUUGGGUACAUUCAGUGGAGGGGAAUCAGCAUGUGUCUUCUGACAGGUUUCAGUGGAGGGGAAUCAGCAUGUGUCUUCUGGCAGGUUUCAGUGUCUGCUCUGUCAUUGUCUGACGGUUUUCCAUCCUCCAUUCCUAGAACGCCUUCCUCUCCUUGGUCGCUAAAGGGGAGAUUAUUACAUUGAUAAGGAUUUAAGGAUCUCGAUUGGGAAGGAUACAAAUGUUCUCCAUAUCCAUAGCCUACAUUACAGAGGACUGCCAGGUGAUUAGUCAUGUGGUACAGUUUACCUGGCAUCUCCAUUCAGCAGAGGGGUGUCAGCGCCUGUCUCUUCAUUGUCCAUGGGCUGCCUGUUCUCCUCUCCUGGCUCACCUCCUUGGUCACUAAAAGUGAGAUCAUGAUGACCAUGACUGAAAGGAUAAGCAAGGCAAACUGAUCCAGGACAGAGUAGAGUAUAAAGAUGUAAUAGAGGUAUUUUAACUAACCUGGAAACAACCACAGCCUCAACAGUCUCACCGUCAUCAGGCUUUCUGAUGUCUCUGUGAUAAAACAUGUACCAAAGGUUCAGUCAGAUACCCACAGGUACACCUGGAAUCAUCUACGGUACAUUACACCACAGUCAAAAAUACACCAGUUGCCCUUCUGGCUUGAAUAUGUUAUGUCUUGCCUGGGCAGGGCUCAAAAGGCAGGGUCUUUGCUGAAAGUUGUUGCUUGCCAAUAGACAUUACUGGUAUUUAGAAAUGCCAUGCGGAUCUAUUGAGUAAUUCUUCCUUCGCCUUCUAUAGCAGGGCUUUCCAACCCUGUUCCUGGAGAGCUACCCUCCUGUAGGUUCUGUCUCCAACCCUGUUCCUGGAGAGCUACCCUCCUGUAGGUUCUGUCUCCAACCCUGUUCCUGGAGAGCUACCCUCCUGUAGGUUCUGUCUCCAACCCUGUUCCUGGAGAGCUACCCUCCUGUAGGUUCUGUCUCCAACCCUGUUCCUGGAGAGCUACCCUCCUGUAGGUUCUGUCUCUAAUCCCAGUUGUAACUAACCUGAUUCAGCUUUCAGGGAUGGGCAACUUUGAUGGGGGCCACAAAAAUAUGAACUCAUUAUCAGGGUCUGCAGUGGCUCGCGGGUCUGCGUACCCACAUUUACACUCACACAUGCAGUCAGAGCCGGCCCUAAGCAACAUUUUGCCAUGGGGAAUAGAGAACAUUUUGCAGAUUUAAAGCAAGUUAGCUGCAAUUCUACUGAUUUUGCCAUGGGGUGGAGACAAAUGUUUGCGUGUCAGUAUGAUAUCUAAGCGAGAGUGACCCCCCCCCUUCCCCAUUCAGCAAUUUGACGAUGAUUACUACAAGUUUAGGUAGCUGGUUAAAUAAAUUUACCAAUCUCAAAAAUGGUUAGCUGACAUAGGCUAAUUGAGUGAUUGUAAGUGACUAACAUGACAAGAGGAAAACUGCUAAUAUACAACCAAAUUUC